This 493-nucleotide long non-coding RNA is filed under the name Brassica napus (rape). Its description in RNAcentral is "long non-coding RNA (BNAP_LNC005977)". Lineage: Eukaryota; Viridiplantae; Streptophyta; Magnoliopsida; Brassicales; Brassicaceae. The record is from RNAcentral.
GACGCGUUUAUUUAGAUUUCAAAUAUUUAUUUCAAAUACUUUUACAGCUCAAAUCAAAUAUGAAUUUGGGUUUAUUUGUUACAAAUGCCCAUGCUCAUGCUUAGUUACAACCACAUGACUUGUAGUAAAUAAUCUUCUCUUUCUUUUCCUUUGGUAUAUUUGACCCACAUGACAAUCAUACUAUAUAGUACAUGAGAAUCUGAGGAAAUUAUUCGCACAUCUUGAAGAGACGCAUAAGUAACAAAGAACCAGAGACGACUCUGAUUCAUGUACAACACAACUUUCUCUCAAACGGGUAAAUCUCUGAGUAACCUUAAAGCUUUCUCCCACUGUGGUCUUUGAGACAUAACGAUCCGUCUCAACACCGGCACAGCUCCUGCUCUCAUAAUGGCCGUGUGAUUCUCACUGUCCAUGCUCAAGUUAUACAACACUGACAAACUCGCCUCCACACACCGCUCGUUCCUCUCUUCUAGAAGCUUCACCAGCGGCUCUA